GACGUUAGCGGCGGACGGGUGAGUAACACGUGGGUAACCUACCUAUAAGACUGGAAUAACUCCGGGAAACCGGGGCUAAUGCCGGAUAACAUUUAGAACCGCAUGGUUCUAAAGUGAAAGAUGGUUUUGCUAUCACUUAUAGAUGGACCCGCGCCGUAUUAGCUAGUUGGUAAGGUAAUGGCUUACCAAGGCAACGAUACGUAGCCGACCUGAGAGGGUGAUCGGCCACACUGGAACUGAGACACGGUCCAGACUCCUACGGGAGGCAGCAGUAGGGAAUCUUCCGCAAUGGGCGAAAGCCUGACGGAGCAACGCCGCGUGAGUGAUGAAGGGUUUCGGCUCGUAAAACUCUGUUAUUAGGGAAGAACAAACGUGUAAGUAACUGUGCACGUCUUGACGGUACCUAAUCAGAAAGCCACGGCUAACUACGUGCCAGCAGCCGCGGUAAUACGUAGGUGGCAAGCGUUAUCCGGAAUUAUUGGGCGUAAAGCGCGCGUAGGCGGUUUCUUAAGUCUGAUGUGAAAGCCCACGGCUCAACCGUGGAGGGUCAUUGGAAA
This 557-nucleotide ribosomal RNA is filed under the name Staphylococcus sp. CH381b_12D. RNAcentral describes it as "bacterial SSU rRNA". It matches the Rfam family "Bacterial small subunit ribosomal RNA", at positions 88 to 632 of the family's 1533-position model. Lineage: Bacteria; Bacillati; Bacillota; Bacilli; Caryophanales; Staphylococcaceae. The record is from RNAcentral.